AGCAGCCGCGGUAAUUCCAGCUCCAAUAGCGUAUAUUAAAGUUGUUGCAGUUAAAAGCUCGUAGUUGAACUUCGGGGUUUACCCAUUGGUCAGGCUUAAUUGUCUGUACUGGUGAGAUAAAUCUCUACCUUCUGAGGAACUUUCAUGCCAUUUAUUUGGUGUGGGAGGAAAUCAGGACUGUUACUUUGAAAAAUUAGAGUGUUUAAAGCAGGCUAACGUCUGAAUACAUUAGCAUGGAAUAAUGAAAUAGGACGGACUGAUUCUAUUUCGUUGGUUUCUAGGAUCACCGUAAUGAUUAAUAGGGAUAGUUGGGGGCAUUAGUAUUCGAUUGUCAGAGGUGAAAUUCUUGGAUUUAUUGAAGACUAACUACUGCGAAAGCAUUUGCCAAGGAUGUUUUCAUUAAUCAAGAACGA
This 413-nucleotide ribosomal RNA is filed under the name uncultured Glomeromycotina. RNAcentral's name for it is "SSU rRNA". It matches the Rfam family "Eukaryotic small subunit ribosomal RNA", at positions 569 to 986 of the family's 1831-position model. Lineage: Eukaryota; Fungi; Glomeromycota. The record is from RNAcentral.